GCGGGUGUGGCGGAAUUGGCAGACGCGCUGGAUUUAGGUUCCAGUACCGCAAGGUGUAUGAGUUCAAGUCUCUUCACCCGCACCA
RNAcentral lists this transfer RNA (85 nucleotides) under Candidatus Pelethousia gallinarum. Its description in RNAcentral is "tRNA-Leu". It matches the Rfam family "tRNA". From Rfam's summary of the family: Transfer RNA (tRNA) molecules are approximately 80 nucleotides in length. Their secondary structure includes four short double-helical elements and three loops (D, anti-codon, and T loops). The record is from RNAcentral. RNAcentral also lists the same sequence under 1 other name. Lineage: Bacteria; Bacillati; Bacillota; Clostridia; Eubacteriales.